RNAcentral lists this long non-coding RNA (677 nucleotides) under Medicago truncatula (barrel medic). Its description in RNAcentral is "long non-coding RNA (MTRU_LNC002884)". The record is from RNAcentral. Lineage: Eukaryota; Viridiplantae; Streptophyta; Magnoliopsida; Fabales; Fabaceae.
AUGUCUUUUGGAGGUUGUCUCUGUUUUUCGGGUCCAUUUUCGUUGACGCUACCUCUUGUUUGAGUUUUGAGUUGUUAAGGUGUUUAGGGUGAGUGUCCUUAGAGCUGAGCUUUUUUUCCUUUUUGAUUGAUGUUUGCCCCACCGUAAAUCUGGUUGUCUGUCUUACUUAUUGUGUGCUGGAUUCUGGUGGGCCGAUUACUUUUGCUUCGAGAUCAGAAGUUGGUGUCUAGCUACUAUCUGAUUUUGCUGGCUACGGUGUUCCUAUGGUGGACUGAGGAUAAGGGGUGCCCUUAUGAUUUGGUCUUGCAGUCUGGUGGACCUAUCGCUUUUAAUUCGAGAUCGGGAGUCAGUUCUUUGGUUCAGGUUUUGGUUUUGGGCUUUUUUGGUGUUCUUUCGAUGGACCGAAGGUUCAGAGGUGGUGGAAGCUAAUUGAUAUUUAGAAUAGCGGCUCAACUUUGGUGAUGAGGAUAUGAUGUUUCAUUUAGAGGGGUGUUAUUUUGGGAUGAGUAGUGGCUUUUUUGUUUAUUGAUACCGUUUUUCAGUGGUCGUUUCGUGAAAGACUCUGUUUUAGGUGGUGAUGUUUAUUUUGGUGGGUGUUUGUCAUCAGGGGUGUUGAAGGUGGGGUUUGACUAGGUGUUGUGUGUAGGGGGUCUUUUUGGUGUUUAUUUUUGGGUGUU